Molecule: ribosomal RNA, 447 nt
Filed under: uncultured bacterium
Lineage: Bacteria
Description: bacterial SSU rRNA
Rfam family: Bacterial small subunit ribosomal RNA
Source: RNAcentral
ACAUGCAAGUCGAACGGACACCAACGAAAGCUUGCUUUUUGUGAAGUGUUAGUGGCGGACGGGUGAGUAACGCGUGAGCAACCUGCCUAUCUGAGUGGAAUAACACAUGGAAACGUGUGCUAAUACCGCAUGAUGCAUAACCAUCGCAUGGUGGAUAUGCCAAAGAUUUAUCGCAGAUAGAUGGGCUCGCGUCUGAUUAGCUAGUUGGUGGGGUAACGGCCUACCAAGGCGACGAUCAGUAGCCGAGCUGAGAGGCUCAACGGCCACAUUUGGGACUGAGAUACGGCCCCAGACUCCUACGGGAGGCAGCAGUCGGGAAUAUUGCACAAUGGAGGAAACUCUGAUGCAGCGAUGCCGCGUGAGGGAAGAAGGUUUUCGGAUUGUAAACCUCUGUCUUCAGGGACGAUAAUGACGGUACCUGAGGAGGAAGCUCCGGCUAACUACGUG